This 269-nucleotide ribosomal RNA is filed under the name uncultured bacterium. Its description in RNAcentral is "partial 16S ribosomal RNA". It matches the Rfam family "Bacterial small subunit ribosomal RNA", at positions 524 to 800 of the family's 1533-position model. The record is from RNAcentral.
UACGGAGGGUGCGAGCGUUGUCCGGAAUCACUGGGCGUAAAGGGCGCGUAGGUGGCGCGGCAGUCAACGGUGAAAGUUCGGGCUCAACCCUGAAUCGGCCGUCGAUACUCCCGAGCUCGAGCACUGUAGAGGCAGAUGGAAUUCCGGGUGUAGCGGUGGAAUGCGUAGAGAUCCGGAAGAACACCGGUGGCGAAGGCGGUCGACUGGCUGAGCUGGACACUAGGCGCGAACAGCGAUGGGCAAGCGGAUAGAACCGUGGAGACAUACGA